UACGUAGGGUGCGAGCGUUGUCCGGAAUUAUUGGGCGUAAAGAGCUCGUAGGCGGUUUGUCACGUCUGCUGUGAAAUCCCGAGGCUCAACCUCGGGCCUGCAGUGGGUACGGGCAGACUGGAGUGCGGUAGGGGAGAAUGGAAUUCCUGGAGUAGCGGUGGAAUGCGCAGAUAUCAGGAGGAACACCGAUGGCGAAGGCAGUUCUCUGGGCCGUAACUGACGCUGAGGAGCGAAAGCGUGGGGAGCGAACAGG
This 253-nucleotide ribosomal RNA is filed under the name uncultured bacterium. RNAcentral describes it as "partial 16S ribosomal RNA". It matches the Rfam family "Bacterial small subunit ribosomal RNA", at positions 524 to 776 of the family's 1533-position model. The record is from RNAcentral.